GGGGAUUUAGCUCAGUGGUAGAGCGCUUGCCUAGGAAGCGCAAGGCCCUGAGUUCAGUCCCCA
This is a non-coding RNA of Rattus norvegicus (Norway rat), 63 nucleotides long. Lineage: Eukaryota; Metazoa; Chordata; Mammalia; Rodentia; Muridae. The record is from Rfam.